GCGCCCGUAGCUCAGGUGGAUAGAGCACAAGUUUCCUAAACUUGGGGCCGCAGGUUCGAGUCCUGCCGGGCGCA
This 74-nucleotide transfer RNA is filed under the name Gemmatimonadota bacterium. RNAcentral describes it as "Gemmatimonadetes bacterium (sediment metagenome) tRNA-Arg". It matches the Rfam family "tRNA". Rfam says of the family: Transfer RNA (tRNA) molecules are approximately 80 nucleotides in length. Their secondary structure includes four short double-helical elements and three loops (D, anti-codon, and T loops). RNAcentral also lists the same sequence under 2 other names. The record is from RNAcentral. Lineage: Bacteria; Pseudomonadati; Gemmatimonadota.